This is a non-coding RNA of Oryza barthii, 109 nucleotides long. The record is from Rfam. Lineage: Eukaryota; Viridiplantae; Streptophyta; Magnoliopsida; Poales; Poaceae.
AUUCCAUGAUGAGGACAGGUGGCCACAUACUCCUGCAGACGUUCCCAUGCUUCGAGAAUAUCGUCUCAUCCCUAGUCUGCUGGAAGCUUGAUGUUCUCCUGCGAAGGGC